GCCGAGGUGGUGGAAUUGGCAGACACGAUGGAUUCAAAAUCCAUUGUCCGCGAGGGCGUGCGGGUUCAAGUCCCGCUCUCGGCACCA
Molecule: transfer RNA, 87 nt
Filed under: Candidatus Stackebrandtia excrementipullorum
Lineage: Bacteria; Bacillati; Actinomycetota; Actinomycetes; Glycomycetales; Glycomycetaceae
Description: tRNA-Leu
Rfam family: tRNA
About the family: Transfer RNA (tRNA) molecules are approximately 80 nucleotides in length.
Source: RNAcentral